RNA transcript from Chenopodium quinoa (quinoa), 1829 nucleotides. It is a transcript of the gene named histone-lysine N-methyltransferase ASHH3-like, with no coding region annotated. The record is from RefSeq and is a predicted model, not a curated record. Lineage: Eukaryota; Viridiplantae; Streptophyta; Magnoliopsida; Caryophyllales; Amaranthaceae. The transcript is spliced from 15 exons.
AUUUUCGAUCUAUGAUUCGGUUCGAUCUUGGAUCGGUGAACAACCCGUGUCAUAAAUUUUUCCCCUAACCCAGAUCUAUAGUAGUAGUAGUACGUAUUUUUAAUUUCCCCUUUCGAAGUUUUUUUCACUUCACUGUUCACACCCCUCCCUCCCUCUCUCUCCCCUCCAUUGAAGCGUUCGCUGAAUUCUACAUUGAAUCUUACUCUGAAUUCUCCAUUGAAGCGGCUUAUGAGCUUUUUCUCCUCUAUUAAAGCAGCUUCAGAGGCUUUGGUUUAUAUAACCCUUUAAUGUCAGAACGAAACCAUGAAAAUGGACCUUUUCUUGCUCAGGAACAGGCAUGUUUGAAUUCUGCAGAAAGGAUUGGUAUUGGGAAUGUAUUCAACAAGCUGACAAAGCAAUUGGGCAAUCCUGUCGAGUUUGAACUUCCAGACCGGUUAAAUAAAUAUCAGCCUGCUCCAUAUGUUUUUAUAAGACGCAAUAUAUAUGUGACUAAGAAACCAAAGAGGCGCCAUGAGGAUGAUGGUAUAUUUUGCUCUUGCGGUUCAUCUACAGGAUCUAAUGCUUCCUGUGGUAGAGAUUGCCACUGUGGGAUGUUACUCUCCACCUGCUCCUCAAACUGUAAAUGUGGAGAUGAUUGUGUUAAUAAACCAUUUCAACAGCGUCCUGUGAAAAAGUUGAAGCUAGUGCAGACUGAGAAAUGUGGAGCAGGCAUUGUGGCUGUUGAAGAUAUUAGGCAAGGGGAAUUUGUUAUUGAAUAUGUUGGAGAAGUAAUUGACGAUAAAUUGUGUGAAGAAAGGUUGUGGAGUAUGAAAAAAACCGGGGAAACAAAUUUUUAUCUUUGUGAGAUUAACCGGGACAUGGUAAUCGAUGCCACAAUGAAGGGGAACAAAUCAAGAUACAUUAAUCAUAGUUGCUGUCCCAACACAGAGAUGCAGAAAUGGAGUAUAGACGGAGAAACAAGAAUUGGUAUAUUUGCUACGCGUGACAUUAAAAAGGGCGAGCAUUUGACAUAUGAUUAUCAGUUUGUUCAAUUUGGUGCAGAUCAAGAUUGCCAUUGUGGUGCUGAUAGCUGUAGACGUAAACUUGGUGUCAAACCUAACAAGAAGAUGCCUUCAUCUGAUGCCGCAUUAAAACUAGUUGCACGCCAGGUAGCGGCAUCAUCUCCCAAAGUGAAAGCAAUAUUGUUGGGAAAAAAUGUUUAUCAGAAUGGAAAUUGUUACAGAGAUCAAAGACAGUGCUCCUUUAAUUGCAUUGGUGAGGUUGUCAGGAUUCCCCGACCUGACCGUAGUAGGACAUUUGGUAUCAUAAAGCGGUUUGAUAACACUACAAAGAAGCACUUGAUCAUGUUUGCAGAUGGCAGUGCUGAAUUCAUUGAUAUGUCUAAAGUAGAUUGGGAGUUUUGUAAUUUCUUAUUGUAGUUCAGGUUUUCUUUGGCAAAUACGAGUAGUACGAAGUACUCAAGUAGGUUGGCAAAUUUAUAACUGUAGCUGUCAUCUUCAGGAAGAAAUUUAGGACCUGAAUAACCUACAACUUCUAAGACGAUCUGCUGUUUAACCGCAACAAAGAAUGCUCCAAGAUGGAAGAGGAUUGAACAUAAUCAAAAUGGCAACAUUAUUUUUACCAACUCCUGUAUCAUUAUCGACCCAUGUAUUAUUCAUUCUUUUGUGUUCUUUGUUGGUAAUAAAGAGUAUUAACUUGUAAGUUGUAACAUAUGUACCCUGUUCCUCCUGAAUGGAUUUGUCUGAAGUUAUGAUCCUUUAUAGUUCUCUGCUGAAGUUCUGAACCUUCAUUAUAUUAUACUUCCAUAAUAUAUUUUUCAAUCAUGAAUA